RNAcentral lists this ribosomal RNA (461 nucleotides) under uncultured bacterium. RNAcentral describes it as "bacterial SSU rRNA". It matches the Rfam family "Bacterial small subunit ribosomal RNA", at positions 918 to 1379 of the family's 1533-position model. The record is from RNAcentral.
GGCCCGCACAAGCGGAGGAACAUGUGGUUUAAUUCGAUGAUACGCGAGGAACCUUACCCGGGCUUGAACUGCCGGCGGACGAUACAGAGAUGUUGAGGCCCUUCGGGGCGCCGGUGGAGGUGCUGCAUGGUUGUCGUCAGCUCGUGCCGUGAGGUGUCGGCUUAAGUGCCAUAACGAGCGCAACCCCUCUCCGUAGUUGCCAUCAGGUUAAGCUGGGCACUCUGCGGACACUGCCGCCGUAAGGUGUGAGGAAGGUGGGGAUGACGUCAAAUCAGCACGGCCCUUACGUCCGGGGCUACACACGUGUUACAAUGGGUGGUACAGAGAGUUGGCGCUGCGCAAGCCGCGUCGGAUCAAUAAAGCCAUCCUCAGUUCGGACUGGGGUCUGCAACCCGACCCCACGAAGCUGGAUUCGCUAGUAAUCGCGCAUCAGCCAUGGCGCGGUGAAUACGUUCCCGGGC